This 432-nucleotide ribosomal RNA is filed under the name uncultured bacterium. RNAcentral describes it as "partial 16S ribosomal RNA". It matches the Rfam family "Bacterial small subunit ribosomal RNA", at positions 338 to 795 of the family's 1533-position model. The record is from RNAcentral.
CCUACGGGAGGCAGCAGUGGGGAAUAUUGGACAAUGGGGGCAACCCUGAUCCAGCCAUGCCGCGUGGGUGAAGAAGGCCUUCGGGUUGUAAAGCCCUUUUGUGGAAAGCCCGGUACCGUAAGAAUAAGCACCGGCUAACUUCGUGCCAGCAGCCGCGGUAAUACGAAGGGUGCAAGCGUUACUCGGAAUUACUGGGCGUAAAGCGUGCGUAGGUGGUGAGUUAAGUCUGAUGUGAAAUCCCCGGGCUCAACCUGGGAAUGGCAUUGGAUACUGGCUCGCUAGAGUGCGGUAGAGGGUGGUGGAAUUCCCGGUGUAGCAGUGAAAUGCGUAGAGAUCGGGAGGAACAUCUGUGGCGAAGGCGGCCACCUGGACCAAACUGACACUGAGGCACGAAAGCGUGGGGAGCAAACAGGAUUAGAUACCCUUGUAGUC